CCUACGGGAGGCAGCAGUAGGGAAUCUUUCACAAUGGGCGAAAGCCUGAUGGAGCAACGCCGCGUGCAGGAUGAAGGCCUUCGGGUUGUAAACUGCUUUUAUAAGCGAGAAAUAUGAUGGUAACUUAUGAAUAAGGAUCGGCUAACUACGUGCCAGCAGCCGCGGUCAUACGUAGGAUCCGAGCAUUAUCCGGAGUGACUGGGUGUAAAGAGUGGCGUAGGUGGCAUAAUAAGUAGCUAGUGAAAUCUGGUGGCUCAACCAUUCAGACUAUUAGCUAAACUGUUAAGCUCGAGACCGUUAGGGGUAACUGGAAUUUCUAGUGUAGGAGUGAAAUCCGUAGAUAUUAGAAGGAACACCAAUAGCGUAGGCAGGUUGCUGGGACGGUUCUGACACUAAGGCACGAAAGCGUAGGGAGCAAACGGGAUUAGAUACCCCAGUAGUC
This 442-nucleotide ribosomal RNA is filed under the name uncultured bacterium. RNAcentral describes it as "partial 16S ribosomal RNA". It matches the Rfam family "Bacterial small subunit ribosomal RNA", at positions 338 to 795 of the family's 1533-position model. The record is from RNAcentral.